This 116-nucleotide ribosomal RNA is filed under the name Periophthalmus magnuspinnatus. Lineage: Eukaryota; Metazoa; Chordata; Actinopteri; Gobiiformes; Gobiidae. The record is from RNAcentral.
GGUUGUGGCCAUACCAUCUUGACAAUACCUGAUCUUCUGAUUUCGAAAGUUAAGCAAGAUUGAGCCUGGUUAGUGCUUGGGUGGGAGAGCACUGGGAAUACGAGGUGGCAUAGUGA